CCUACGGGUGGCAGCAGUGGGGAAUAUUGGACAAUGGGGGGAACCCUGAUCCAGCCAUGCCGCGUGUGUGAAGAAGGCCCUCGGGUUGUAAAGCACUUUCAGUGAGGAAGAACGCCUGGUGGUUAAUACCCAUCAGGAAAGACAUCACUCACAGAAGAAGCACCGGCUAACUCCGUGCCAGCAGCCGCGGUAAUACGGAGGGUGCGAGCGUUAAUCGGAAUUACUGGGCGUAAAGCGCGCGUAGGUGGCUUGAUAAGCCGGAUGUGAAAGCCCCGGGCUCAACCUGGGAACGGCAUCCGGAACUGUCAAGCUAGAGUGCAGGAGAGGAAGGUAGAAUUCCCGGUGUAGCGGUGAAAUGCGUAGAGAUCGGGAGGAAUACCAGUGGCGAAGGCGGCCUUCUGGACUGACACUGACACUGAGGUGCGAAAGCGUGGGUAGCAAACAGGAUUAGAUACCCGUGUAGUC
This 465-nucleotide ribosomal RNA is filed under the name Vreelandella stevensii. RNAcentral's name for it is "partial 16S ribosomal RNA". It matches the Rfam family "Bacterial small subunit ribosomal RNA", at positions 338 to 795 of the family's 1533-position model. Lineage: Bacteria; Pseudomonadati; Pseudomonadota; Gammaproteobacteria; Oceanospirillales; Halomonadaceae. The record is from RNAcentral.